Molecule: long non-coding RNA, 1077 nt
Organism: Oncorhynchus tshawytscha (Chinook salmon)
Lineage: Eukaryota; Metazoa; Chordata; Actinopteri; Salmoniformes; Salmonidae
Source: Ensembl
CAAUAUUUUCCUGAGCUUUUUUUCAGUGAGUGGCAGGCUUUCCUUUUCAGCGUGAUUUGUGAACAGGAUGAAGCUUGGCCAGCAACACAGGCAGGGCGGGAGGAGUAGGACUAGUCCCUCUGAUUGGGUGGGAAAACAGACAGAGACGGGAGAGGUUUGAGAACCACUGAUUUCGACAACAGUUCCCAUGACACAAGGAAUUAUGUGAGUCUUUCACGAGACACAAGGACCCUUUUCUGAACUGCAAAGAACCAUUGACGGGCUCAAAGGGAUAUUUGAGUCAUUAUGGUUCAACAUAGAACCAUCACCCUUACCAAAGAACCCUUGAAGAACUAUGUACUGGAGAGGGUGCACAGGCCACAAAUUGUGUGCCAAUCAUCAUCAAAGAGUGAAUUACAAAGGUUGUUACUGAAAUUUGAGGAUGCCAUGGUUACACAGAGAGAAACCACAAUUGCAGUGGAAUAGUAAUAUUUCAAAAGGUAUCGUAGAGGUUAGAGCAUUGGGCCAGUAACCAAAAGUUCGCUGGUUUGAAUACUUGAUUGCUCAGGGGCGCAGCACAAUGGUGACCUUUGCUAUGACCUCAUUUCCUGCGGGUGUCUCAGGGGGAGUGGAGAUAUGCAAGAAACACAUUUGCAUUACACACUUGUGUGUAACAGGACAAAUAUAAACACCCACCAUUAUUAUUUUAUUUUUUAUUUGAUUUGCAUCUUUAUUUUGUGUGAUUUUCACAGCCGAACAACUACAGUAUCUUUUCUCUGAGCUUUAGAGUAAUAUGGCAUGGCAUUACCAAGGGGAGAUAAUUGUUCAAUAAAUCUGAAUAAACUAGUACCAUUUACUCAGACACAUUUGUCAAGAACAUCCUUAAAUGUAAUUCUAUGCGAGCUAAAACUAUUUUUAUUCACUCAUGUACUACACAAUUUGAUGAGGAUGUAGUGAGUCAUUCAAUUCAAUUCUAAAUGAGGCUUUCUUCAAAAUGUCAGACAUUGCUUUUUAGAUAACAAAGCAUAUAUAUUCUUUAUUAUCUGGUCCCCACAAAAAAAGUGUGCGUGUGUAUAUAUAUUAGUACAUGCAUAUAAU